Long non-coding RNA from Lates calcarifer (barramundi perch), 1165 nucleotides. RefSeq lists it as uncharacterized. The record is from RefSeq and is a predicted model, not a curated record. The transcript is spliced from 5 exons. NCBI's taxonomy places the organism in Eukaryota, Metazoa, Chordata, Actinopteri, Centropomidae.
UGGGGAAAUGCUUUUUGGGCCGCGGGGGAUUUUUCAUUGCAGUACCGCAGGUGGCCACUGGAAAAAAAUGCUGCAAGGCUGAGCUCUCUAGUACAUCCACUUUACAGACCGGACUGGAAGCUGAAUCGAUUGAACAGGCAGGCUGCGGUGAAUUUCCUAAGCAAUCAGGACCAGCGUUCCCAGGCAGCUGAGCGAACUCCAUCUCCUGCUCCUACGCUGUGACAUGCAGAUGAAAGCCUCAAGAGAAAUCCAGGCCACGCCACCUGUUAAAUGGACCCUAAUGACGAUAUGAAGCGGCGGCGUUGUCUCUCACUCACCAGGAACCAUUCCAGCAAGCGUGGAGGUUGGGUAGCUGCCCUGGCCUGUGGGGGGAACGUGAGGGGGAUACCCAGUACACGGACUAACAGGCUGUCUCUGGGAAUAUACCGGAUAUCUGUGUGUGGUCAGCUCGCACAACCCGGAUUCAGCUCGAUCAUUCUUUACAUUCUGUCUUUUAUUUCAUUUUUGCCCUCAUCUGCCUUUAUAUCCGCUCUGGAACCCAAGUAGGCCUAAAAUCAUUUGUUUAUACCUUUAUUUCCUCAUUUAAUUUAAAGGACUAAAUGUUAAACCAGUGGCUUAUAUGUAUAAUAUGCAGAUGUAUUGACCUUUUUUUUUACAUUCAGCUGAUGGUGCGAUGAUUCGCAGUGGUCCCAGUCUGGGAGCAGUGGUGUCUGGUUGGAGGUUGGGGGGUGAAAGUGAUGAUCUGUGCGCAGCAGUGCCGCUGAGCUUCUGUAGAUGGCGCUGUAUAGUUUCUCAAAUGUAAAGGUGCUGUCAAAGUCCCGAAAAAAAAAAGAAGUAAAACUUGGGGUGCACUUGAGCGCCUGUGAUCAAACUGAGAAGUGGAAAUAUUCCCCUGGAACAAUUAUCUAUGAGCUGUAGAUCCGUGUCAGGUGUUGCAGAGGAUCAAACAGCUGAUGGCCUCCACCUGCAGUAUGAAGACAUUUGAAAUUAAACUGAACAGUGGUCAGGAGUCACAUGAGAGUCAAGUUCUGGAUUCUGUUUUUAAAAAUCUAAAAUCUGUAAUACAUUAAUUAGAGAAUAAAUAUUUCUGUCAAUAAAUAACUUAUCUUAAAAAAAAGUUUUCAUAAUAAAGUUACAAAGUCUUAAAACAGGGGUGAGCAAUAAA